RNAcentral lists this ribosomal RNA (768 nucleotides) under uncultured bacterium. Its description in RNAcentral is "bacterial SSU rRNA". It matches the Rfam family "Bacterial small subunit ribosomal RNA", at positions 1 to 747 of the family's 1533-position model. The record is from RNAcentral.
UUAGAGUUUGAUCCUGGCUCAGGACGAACGCUGGCGGCGUGCAUAACACAUGCAAGUUGAACGAGAAGUUCUUUUGGAAAUCUUCGGAAGGAAAAAGGAAUGGAAAGUAGCGGACGGGUGAGUAACGCGUGAGAAACCUGCCUCACACAAGGGGAUAGCCAUUGGAAACGGUGAUUAAUACCCUAUGACAUGGACGCUUCGCAUGGAGCAGCCAUUAAAGUGUUAGCGGUGUGAGAUGGUCUCGCGUCUGAUUAGCUAGUUGGUGAGAUAAAAGCUCACCAAGGCAACGAUGCGUAGCCGACCUGAGAGGGUGAUCGGCCACACUGGGACUGAGACACGGCCCAGACUCCUACGGGAGGCAGCAGUAGGGAAUCUUCCGCAAUGGACGAUAGUCUGACGGAGCGACGCCGCGUGAAUGAUGAAGGUCUUANGAUCGUAAAAUUCUGUUGGUAGGGAUGACAAGUGUGAGAGUAACUGCUCACCCUUGACAGUACUUAACAGAAAGCCCCGGCUAACUACGUGCCAGCAGCCGCGGUAAUACGUAGGGGGGCAAGCGUUGGUCCGGAAUUAUGGGGCGUAAAGGGUACGCACGCGGUUUUUUUAAGUCGGAUGGGAAAUCUCAUAGCCUAGCUGGGAACGGUCUUGGAAACUGAAGAACUUGAUUAUAAAAAAGAAAAGGGAACUUCCAGGUGGGGCGGUGAAAUGCGUAAAUAUUUUGGAGGAAACCCAGUGGACGAAGGCGACUUCUUUUGUCUUUUUACUGACGCU